CCUGACGCAGCGACGCCGCGUGGAGGAUGAAGGCCCUUGGGUUGUAAACUCCUGUCAGGAAGGACGAACGGCAGGGCAGUUAAUAUCUGUCUUGUUUGACGGUACUUCCAGAGGAAGCUCCGGCUAACUCCGUGCCAGCAGCCGCGGUAAGACGGAGGGAGCAAGCGUUGCUCGGAAUUACUGGGCGUAAAGGGCGUGUAGGCGGGAUGGUCAGUCGGAUGUGAAAGCCCCGGGCUCAACUCGGGAAGUGCAUUCGAUACUGCCGUUCUUGAGUGUGGUAGAGGAGAGCGGAAUUCCUGGUGUAGCGGUGAAAUGCGUAGAUAUCAGGAAGAACACCUGUGGCGAAGGCGGCUCUCUGGACCAAUACUGACGCUGAGGCGCGAAAGCUAGGGGAGCGAAAGGGAUUAGUACCCC
RNAcentral lists this ribosomal RNA (414 nucleotides) under uncultured bacterium. Its description in RNAcentral is "bacterial SSU rRNA". It matches the Rfam family "Bacterial small subunit ribosomal RNA", at positions 382 to 788 of the family's 1533-position model. The record is from RNAcentral.